RNAcentral lists this ribosomal RNA (479 nucleotides) under denitrifying bacterium W44b. Its description in RNAcentral is "bacterial SSU rRNA". It matches the Rfam family "Bacterial small subunit ribosomal RNA", at positions 12 to 488 of the family's 1533-position model. The record is from RNAcentral. Lineage: Bacteria; Pseudomonadati; Pseudomonadota; Alphaproteobacteria.
UUUGAUCCUGGCUCAGAUUGAACGCUGGCGGCAUGCCUUACACAUGCAAGUCGAACGGCAGCGCGGGGCAACCUGGCGGCGAGUGGCGAACGGGUGAGUAAUAUAUCGGAACGUACCCUGGAGUGGGGGAUAACGUAGCGAAAGUUACGCUAAUACCGCAUACGAUCUAAGGAUGAAAGCAGGGGACCGCAAGGCCUUGUGCUCCUGGAGCGGCCGAUAUCUGAUUAGCUAGUUGGUGGGGUAAAGGCCCACCAAGGCAUCGAUCAGUAGCUGGUCUGAGAGGACGACCAGCCACACUGGAACUGAGACACGGUCCAGACUCCUACGGGAGGCAGCAGUGGGGAAUUUUGGACAAUGGGCGCAAGCCUGAUCCAGCAAUGCCGCGUGAGUGAAGAAGGCCUUCGGGUUGUAAAGCUCUUUUGUCAGGGAAGAAACGAUUUCCUCUAAUACAGGUGGUUAAUGACGGUACCUGAAGAAUA